Molecule: transfer RNA, 73 nt
Filed under: Rarobacter faecitabidus
Lineage: Bacteria; Bacillati; Actinomycetota; Actinomycetes; Micrococcales; Rarobacteraceae
Also listed under: 1 other name
Rfam family: tRNA
About the family: Transfer RNA (tRNA) molecules are approximately 80 nucleotides in length. Their secondary structure includes four short double-helical elements and three loops (D, anti-codon, and T loops).
Source: Rfam by way of RNAcentral
GCGCCCGUAGCUCAGUGGAUAGAGCGUCUGCCUCCGGAGCAGAAGGUCGGGGGUUCGAGUCCCUUCGGGCGCA